GGCUUGACAUGAAUGAAGCAUCUAAUUUCAUCACCUCUGGUCCCCUUCAAAAUUCAAGUCUCGAUGACCCUCCCUACAAAAUAAAAAAUUCGCAAAUUAAUAACAACGCAAUCCCAGCAACAUCUUUGCAUUAUGGUAAUGUCACUGAGUAUAAUGUCCACAAUUUGUAUGGAUUCCUACAAACCAAAGUAACUCACAAGGCUCUAACUAAUAUAACUGGUAAAAGGCCAUUCAUUCUCAGUAGAUCAACUUUUGUAAGCUCUGGUAAAUAUGCAGCACACUGGACAGGAGAUAAUGCUGCUUCAUGGAAUGAUUUGGCAUACUCUAUACCAUCAAUAUUAAAUUCUGGAAUCUUUGGAAUUCCAAUGGUUGGGGCAGAUAUAUGUGGUUUCUUAAGAGAUACUAAUGAAGAACUUUGCAGGCGCUGGAUCCAGGUAGAAUUGACCGUCAAACACAGUAUUAUAGGAUAAUCUUUUCACUCUCUGUAUGAUACUAAUUAUUCACAUAUGCUUGCUUAAGAAAGACUAUAGUAGUUACAAAACAAAACUACAGAACAACCAGAUGUUACUAAGUAUUCACAAUGCCACAUCUACUUGUCUAAAACUAUAGUUACUUAGUAUUCACAAUUUGACAUACUUGCCUAAAACUAUAGAAGUUACCAAAAUUACAUGUGGAAACUGCCAUGAUUUUUUGGUUAGUGGAAAAUAUGAAGGAAUCAUAUGUGAAAUGAAAUGCACAUUAUAACAACUAUAUAUACAUGUCUAACUUUUUUCUUUUCCUCUUUCUAGUUGGGAGCUUUUUACCCCUUUUCAAGAGAUCAUUCUGAUAAAAAUUCAAGGAGGCAAGAGCUUUACCUUUGGGACUCAGUUGCUGCAUCAGCUAAGAAAGUACUUGCCCUCCGAUAUCGACUGCUCCCUUAUUUCUAUACACUAAAUUACGAAGCACAUGUUAAAGGAACACCUAUUGCACGACCCCUUUUCUUUUCGUUCCCCGAGGAUGUCGCAACAUAUGGAAUAAAUUCACAGUUUCUACUAGGCAAAGGGGUUCUAGUGUCACCUGUACUAAAAUCCGGGGAAACCAAAGUCGAAGCAUACUUUCCUGCAGGAAACUGGUUUGAACUUUUCAAUCUCUCGAAAU
This 1137-nucleotide long non-coding RNA is filed under the name Lupinus angustifolius (narrow-leaved blue lupine). RNAcentral's name for it is "long non-coding RNA (LANG_LNC002381)". The record is from RNAcentral. Lineage: Eukaryota; Viridiplantae; Streptophyta; Magnoliopsida; Fabales; Fabaceae.